This is a long non-coding RNA of Pezoporus occidentalis (night parrot), 430 nucleotides long. RefSeq lists it as uncharacterized. The record is from RefSeq and is a predicted model, not a curated record. The transcript has 2 exons. Lineage: Eukaryota; Metazoa; Chordata; Aves; Psittaciformes; Psittacidae.
ACAUAGAAGCAUCAUAGACUAUCUAUAAAAUUGGGACUGUAGUGUGCCAUGUAGAAAGCACCGUGGGAAAUUUCUGGAAAUUCUUACCCAUGUUUUCCUCCAGCUUCGCAUCAUCUUGUCAUGUUCAGUGAUGGCACUUCUCCAGGUAUGGAAUUCUUUGGCCCAUGCAUCCUGACCAGCACUAUCUGAGAAUUGUACAUGGGGAUGAAGUAAGUGGAUGGUAUCUGUUCAGUUGUAAUACUUCAUGUGGAGGACUGGGAAAGAAGGAACGAAAGCCACCAUUUUGUCCUUUGUUUUGUUCUACCUCUUCUCAUGAUAUUUGGAAGUAAGGACACAAGCAUCAAUAUACAGUACUUCUGGAGCACAUUGAAAGCCUCCCUCUGCUUUACAUUUACAGUUGUUUCAUUGAGAUGACCUUCAUUCUGCUACC